RNAcentral lists this ribosomal RNA (156 nucleotides) under Wirthiotrema duplomarginatum. RNAcentral describes it as "5.8S ribosomal RNA". It matches the Rfam family "5.8S ribosomal RNA". Rfam says of the family: 5.8S ribosomal RNA (5.8S rRNA) is a component of the large subunit of the eukaryotic ribosome. It is transcribed by RNA polymerase I as part of the 45S precursor that also contains 18S and 28S rRNA. Lineage: Eukaryota; Fungi; Ascomycota; Lecanoromycetes; Ostropales; Graphidaceae. The record is from RNAcentral.
UUCAACAACGGAUCUCUUGGUUCUGGCAUCGAUGAAGAACGCAGCGAAAUGCGAUAAGUAAUGUGAAUUGCAGAAUUCAGUGAAUCAUCGAAUAUUUGAACGCACAUUGCGCCCUCUGGUAUUCCGGGGGGCAUGCCUGUUCGAGCGUCGCAAAAA